Molecule: ribosomal RNA, 465 nt
Filed under: uncultured bacterium
Lineage: Bacteria
Description: partial 16S ribosomal RNA
Rfam family: Bacterial small subunit ribosomal RNA
Source: RNAcentral
GACGAACGCUGGCGGCGUGCUUAACACAUGCAAGUCGAACGGAAAGGCCCUGCUUGCAGGGUACUCGAGUGGCGAACGGGUGAGUAACACGUGGGUGAUCUGCCCUGCACUUCGGGAUAAGCCUGGGAAACUGGGUCUAAUACCGGAUAGGAGCCAUUUUUAGUGUGAUGGUUGGAAAGUUUUUUCGGUGUAGGAUGAGCUCGCGGCCUAUCAGCUUGUUGGUGGGGUAAUGGCCUACCAAGGCGGCGACGGGUAGCCGGCCUGAGAGGGUGGACGGCCACCUUGGGACUGAGAUACGGCCCAGACUCCUACGGGAGGCAGCAGUGGGGAAUAUUGCACCAUGGGCGCAAGCCUGAUGCAGCGACGCCGCGUGGGGGAUGACGGCCUUCGGGUUGUAAACUCCUUUCGCUAGGGACGAAGCUUUUUGUGACGGUACCUAGAUAAGAAGCACCGGCUAACUACGUG